RNAcentral lists this ribosomal RNA (676 nucleotides) under uncultured Alphaproteobacteria bacterium. Its description in RNAcentral is "bacterial SSU rRNA". It matches the Rfam family "Bacterial small subunit ribosomal RNA", at positions 62 to 783 of the family's 1533-position model. The record is from RNAcentral. Lineage: Bacteria; Pseudomonadati; Pseudomonadota; Alphaproteobacteria.
UCGAGCGCGCCCUUCGGGGUGAGCGGCGGACGGGUGAGUAACGCGUGGUGAAUAUGCCCUUCUCUAAGGAAUAGCCUCUGGAAACGGAGAGUAAUACCUUAUACGCCCUUUGGGGGAAAGAUUUAUCGGAGAAGGAUUAGCCCGCGUUAGAUUAGGUAGUUGGUGGGGUAAUGGCCUACCAAGCCUACGAUCUAUAGCUGGUUUGAGAGGAUGAUCAGCCACACUGGGACUGAGACACGGCCCAGACUCCUACGGGAGGCAGCAGUAGGGAAUCUUAGACAAUGGGGGCAACCCUGAUCUAGCCAUGCCGCGUGUGUGAUGAAGGCCCUAGGGUCNUAAAGCACUUUCGCCAGAGAUGAUAAUGACAGUAUCUGGUAAAGAAACCCCGGCUAACUCCGUGCCAGCAGCCGCGGUAAUACGGAGGGGGUUAGCGUUGUUCGGAAUUACUGGGCGUAAAGCGCACGUAGGCGGAUUAGUAAGUUAGAGGUGAAAUCCCAGGGCUCAACCCUGGAACUGCCUUUAAUACUGCUAGUCUUGAGUUCGAGAGAGGUAAGUGNAAUUCCGAGUGUAGAGGUGAAAUUCGUAGAUAUUCGGAGGAACACCAGUGGCGAAGGCGGCUUACUGGCUCGAUACUGACGCUGAGGUGCGAAAGUGUGGGGAGCAAACAGGAUUAGAU